GAUGAACGCUGGCGGCGUGCCUAAUACAUGCAAGUCGAGCGAACAGACGAGGAGCUUGCUCCUCUGACGUUAGCGGCGGACGGGUGAGUAACACGUGGAUAACCUACCUAUAAGACUGGGAUAACUUCGGGAAACCGGAGCUAAUACCGGAUAAUAUAUUGAACCGCAUGGUUCAAUAGUGAAAGACGGUUUUGCUGUCACUUAUAGAUGGAUCCGCGCCGCAUUAGCUAGUUGGUAAGGUAACGGCUUACCAAGGCAACGAUGCGUAGCCGACCUGAGAGGGUGAUCGGCCACACUGGAACUGAGACACGGUCCAGACUCCUACGGGAGGCAGCAGUAGGGAAUCUUCCGCAAUGGGCGAAAGCCUGACGGAGCAACGCCGCGUGAGUGAUGAAGUUCUUCGGAUCGUAAAACUCUGUUAUUAGGGAAGAACAAAUGUGUAAGUAACUAUGCACGUCUUGACGGUACCUAACCAGAAAGCCACGGCUAACUACGUG
Molecule: ribosomal RNA, 497 nt
Filed under: uncultured bacterium
Lineage: Bacteria
Description: partial 16S ribosomal RNA
Rfam family: Bacterial small subunit ribosomal RNA
Source: RNAcentral